Molecule: long non-coding RNA, 948 nt
Organism: Columba livia (rock pigeon)
Lineage: Eukaryota; Metazoa; Chordata; Aves; Columbiformes; Columbidae
Exons: 3
Source: RefSeq, a predicted model, not a curated record
AGGAUAGCUCCUCCACUCACCCAGGGCUGAGGAGCACUCCCACCUGAAGCCGGCACCUGCUUACCCACCUUGCCUGCACAUCAGCCAGGAGGAGCCAACCCUCACCAGGCAGUUCAUGGGAGGGCUUGCCAGGGUUACGGACACCGGGCAGCAGGAACAGCAGCUCUGUGCUGUAACAACACAGCUGUACCACUGGCUUCCAGGCACUCUGCUGCCAGCAUAUGCUCAAGAGCUAAUCUCAUUGAACUCUGACCUACUGGGAACUUGACCAUGACAGGAGACCAUUGCCUGCCACUGGCCAGCAAGGGAAGGAGCAGCAUACUGGGACAAGCAGAAAUGGAAGGCUUCCAAGUGGAUACAAAAAUGCAUGUAAAACAAGUUGUCCUCCAGAGACAUACGCCUACUCUAUGACUCCAAGAUUAUUUCCUCUAAAAAUUUGAUAGGGAGAUGUGUACUACUUUGUAGUAUGAUCCAUUGCAACUGUGUUCCAGCAAGGCAGGUAAUCCUACACUGUCCCAGUUUUAUAAGAAUCCAGGCAAUUUGAAUUAAUAGCAUAGAAGUAUAGCACUUGCCAUAAACAUGGAACAGUUGCUUUAUUGCACUUGUCAAAUGCAUUCCUCUCUUUGGUCACAGUUAUGGUUCAAGAAUUUAACAAAAAAUUAACAAGCAAUUCACAAUAAAGAGGAACUGGAAAAACAAAACAACACAACAAGUCAAAGCUGUAGAAAGCAUCCUAUACACUACACGUUUAAAUUUUUAUGUUGUUUUUUUUGUUUUGUUUUGUGCUUUUUCCAGCCUGGUUCUCACUCUUAGUUCAGGAAAUUUCUUAUAAGCCCCAUGCCUUGUUCAAUACAAAUACCAGAGUGGAAAGGACACCAGAGAGGUUCUUCCCUUUAGCCUCCCAAGAAAUACAGAGUGACCAAACAAGUAGUUCUAGAGGUAUUUACC